UGAGUAAACCAGACAAUCGCGUGCGAAAGUACGAGGAAAGUCCGAGCUCCAUAGAGCAGGGUGCUGGGUAAUCCCCAGUGGAGGCGACUCCAAGGAAAGUGCAAUAGAAAGAUACCGCCUCAGCAGGCAGGCUUCGGCCGCUGCUGCGGUAAGGGUGGAAUGGUGAGGUAAGAGCUCACCAGCGUUCAGGUGACUGGACGGCUCUGUAAACCCCGCCUGGAGCAAGACCAAGUACGGGAUGAGAAGGGAGUUGCUCGCUCCCCCCGGUUGGUAGGUCGCUUGAGCCCUCCGGCAACGAUGGGCCUAGAUAGAUGAUUGUCAAAUACAGAACUCGGCUUAUAGGUUUACUCACACA
This 355-nucleotide RNase P RNA is filed under the name Acidaminobacter sp. RNAcentral's name for it is "RNase P RNA component class A". It matches the Rfam family "Bacterial RNase P class A". From Rfam's summary of the family: Ribonuclease P (RNase P) is a ubiquitous endoribonuclease, found in archaea, bacteria and eukarya as well as chloroplasts and mitochondria. Its best characterised activity is the generation of mature 5'-ends of tRNAs by cleaving the 5'-leader elements of precursor-tRNAs. The record is from RNAcentral. Lineage: Bacteria; Bacillati; Bacillota; Clostridia; Peptostreptococcales; Acidaminobacteraceae. RNAcentral also lists the same sequence under 1 other name.